This 561-nucleotide long non-coding RNA is filed under the name Sorghum bicolor (sorghum). RNAcentral's name for it is "long non-coding RNA (SBIC_LNC013727)". Lineage: Eukaryota; Viridiplantae; Streptophyta; Magnoliopsida; Poales; Poaceae. The record is from RNAcentral.
CCCAUAUUUUCACCCAUUGUUAUCUUACCUUUAAUAUUGUUCUUAUUUACACCUACCUAUCCAUCUAGGUUAAGUUAGAGCAUAGAUCCGUUCUCCCGUUUUCCUGUGGAUACGAUAAAACCUUUAACCGGGUAAAAGCUACAACGGUAUUCUUGCGCUUGCGGAUUUAUCUGUGUGCGUAUAAAUACCAUAGUACACUCUAGUGUCAUGCUAGGGAUGACAACCUAGUAUUCAAGUGGUGUUAGCAAGUGUCAACAAGCAUUUUUGGCGCCGUUGCCGGGGAAACGGUUGCUGAGUUCACUACGAACUAGCUUAAUCAUUUUCUAAAAAAUAAAAAAAAUAUACUUUUCCUUUUAUCUUUUGCCUUAUCUCUGCUAUUCUUUCUUCUUAUCUAAUCCUUGAUCUCUGGUCUAUCAUGAAUUCAAACAUGUCUAUCUAUGAAUUUCAUAGACCUAUGGGCACACAUCUCGAACCACCCAAAUCUUCAAAGCCUAUCAUAGCAUCUAGUUUUGAGAUAGACCCCGAAUACAUAUAAUUUGUUCAAAAACAACCUUUCUCAGG